This 77-nucleotide transfer RNA is filed under the name Enterobacteriaceae bacterium. Its description in RNAcentral is "tRNA-Arg". It matches the Rfam family "tRNA". Rfam says of the family: Transfer RNA (tRNA) molecules are approximately 80 nucleotides in length. Their secondary structure includes four short double-helical elements and three loops (D, anti-codon, and T loops). The record is from RNAcentral. Lineage: Bacteria; Pseudomonadati; Pseudomonadota; Gammaproteobacteria; Enterobacterales; Enterobacteriaceae. RNAcentral also lists the same sequence under 1 other name.
GCACCAUUAGCGUAAUUGGAUAGCGCAAGAGGCUUCUAUCCUCUGGGUUUCAGGUUCGAAUCCUGAAUGGUGCACCA